RNAcentral lists this ribosomal RNA (203 nucleotides) under uncultured bacterium. Its description in RNAcentral is "partial 16S ribosomal RNA". It matches the Rfam family "Bacterial small subunit ribosomal RNA", at positions 1290 to 1500 of the family's 1533-position model. The record is from RNAcentral.
AGUUCGGAUUGGAGUCUGCAACCCGACUCCAUGAAGCUGGAUUCGCUAGUAAUCGCGCAUCAGCCACGGCGCGGUGAAUGCGUUCCCGGGCCUUGUACACACCGCCCGUCAUGCCAUGGAAGCCGGGAGUGCCUGAAGUACGCGACCGCAAGGAGCGUCCUAAGGUAAAACCGGUGACUGGGGCUAAGUCGUAACAAGGUAUC